GCUGGGAUUUGGAACUCGGUGGGGAUUCUUCUUGGGGCAGCUCACAGUGUGUCAGCCCUGACUUGUGCGCUCGAUGAGACGGGAAGGUCCGGAGAGCUAAGUUACAAGACCCUCCCCACUUCCUCCUUCCCUCACUCGCGCUGUUUAUGGCUAAUUGUACGUUUCUUUGGACUGGGCACUCUGCUGGGCACAGGGAUUAGGACCCGAACUAGGGAGAUACAGACACGAAAAUGGACAGAAACUGUGGCUCCAUCUAGGAUUGGAGAGAACAGAAAAUGACUUCUCGAAUGACAACAAAGGUGCUUUACAAUCUAUUCAUAGUACCCACCUCUUCUCCAUCCCUGAUGGCUCACUUUAUGGGAACAGAGAGUGAACAGCAGGACAACUGAAGUCCUGCUCCCCCAAAAGGUCAUAAGAGGAACACCUGGCACUAAAAUGCUUUGUAAUGAUUAACACUGGC
Long non-coding RNA from Herpailurus yagouaroundi (jaguarundi), 460 nucleotides. RefSeq lists it as uncharacterized. The record is from RefSeq and is a predicted model, not a curated record. Lineage: Eukaryota; Metazoa; Chordata; Mammalia; Carnivora; Felidae. The transcript is spliced from 3 exons.